Mirounga angustirostris (Northern elephant seal) is the source of this 145-nucleotide small nuclear RNA. RefSeq annotates it as U4 spliceosomal RNA. The record is from RefSeq and is a predicted model, not a curated record. NCBI's taxonomy places the organism in Eukaryota, Metazoa, Chordata, Mammalia, Carnivora, Phocidae. The transcript has a single exon.
AGCUUUGCGCAGUGGCAGUAUCGUAGCCAAUGAGGUUUACCCGAGAUGCGAUUAUUGGUAAUUGAAAAGAAGUUAUUAUGUAUAUUUACUAAUGUAAUCAUCACAACAAAUUGAUGAUGUAGGUACUAUAAAUGUCAUCCCAUCU